AUUGAACGCUGGCGGCAGGCUUAACACAUGCAAGUCGAGCGGAGAUGAGGUGCUUGCACCUUAUCUUAGCGGCGGACGGGUGAGUAAUGCUUAGGAAUCUGCCUAUUAGUGGGGGACAACAUUCCGAAAGGAAUGCUAAUACCGCAUACGUCCUACGGGAGAAAGCAGGGGAUCUUCGGACCUUGCGCUAAUAGAUGAGCCUAAGUCGGAUUAGCUAGUUGGUGGGGUAAAGGCCUACCAAGGCGACGAUCUGUAGCGGGUCUGAGAGGAUGAUCCGCCACACUGGGACUGAGACACGGCCCAGACUCCUACGGGAGGCAGCAGUGGGGAAUAUUGGACAAUGGGGGGAACCCUGAUCCAGCCAUGCCGCGUGUGUGAAGAAGGCCUUAUGGUUGUAAAGCACUUUAAGCGAGGAGGAGGCUACUGAGACUAAUACUCUUGGAUAGUGGACGUUACUCGCAGAAUAAGCACCGGCUAACUCUGUGCCAGCCGCCGCCGUAA
This 501-nucleotide ribosomal RNA is filed under the name uncultured bacterium. RNAcentral describes it as "partial 16S ribosomal RNA". It matches the Rfam family "Bacterial small subunit ribosomal RNA", at positions 30 to 523 of the family's 1533-position model. The record is from RNAcentral.